UGCCCUGUAGUGUAAUGGCAACACCCGAGAGUUUGGUUCUUGAACUAUAGGUUCGAAUCCUAUUGGGGCAA
Molecule: transfer RNA, 71 nt
Filed under: bacterium SCSIO 12643
Lineage: Bacteria
Description: tRNA-Gln
Rfam family: tRNA
About the family: Transfer RNA (tRNA) molecules are approximately 80 nucleotides in length. Their secondary structure includes four short double-helical elements and three loops (D, anti-codon, and T loops).
Source: RNAcentral